Regulatory RNA element from Bacillus sp. B-jedd, 182 nucleotides. It matches the Rfam family "Lysine riboswitch aptamer". From Rfam's summary of the family: Riboswitches are metabolite binding domains within certain messenger RNAs that serve as precision sensors for their corresponding targets. NCBI's taxonomy places the organism in Bacteria, Bacillati, Bacillota, Bacilli, Caryophanales, Bacillaceae. The record is from Rfam.
CAGUGAGGUAGAGGCGCGAUAUUUAACAGUCCUUGGUGGAGCCCGAGAAGCUUUGAACCCAAGGAGAAGGAAAUAUCGCCGAAGUGGGCAGUAUACUCGGUAUUGCCUGCUGGGCCUGCAGUUAAGAGCUGCAGGACUGUCUCAAUAAACGACCCAGUUUGUUGAGUUGUGCUAUCUCAUCG